Molecule: non-coding RNA, 30 nt
Filed under: Rattus norvegicus (Norway rat)
Lineage: Eukaryota; Metazoa; Chordata; Mammalia; Rodentia; Muridae
Source: RNAcentral
UUGGUCAGUUGUUUGGUCAGCCAAACAAGG